This 1000-nucleotide ribosomal RNA is filed under the name uncultured Mycoplasma sp. RNAcentral describes it as "bacterial SSU rRNA". It matches the Rfam family "Bacterial small subunit ribosomal RNA", at positions 448 to 1455 of the family's 1533-position model. The record is from RNAcentral. Lineage: Bacteria; Bacillati; Mycoplasmatota; Mollicutes; Mycoplasmatales; Mycoplasmataceae.
AACACUACAUUGAGGAAAUGCUUUGUAGCUGACGGUACCUUAUCAGAAAGCGAUGGCUAACUAUGUGCCAGCAGCCGCGGUAAUACAUAGGUCGCAAGCGUUAUCCGGAAUUAUUGGGCGUAAAGCGUUCGUAGGCUGUUUAUUAAGUCUGGAGUCAAAUCCCAGGGCUCAACCCUGGCUCGCUUUGGAUACUGGUAAACUAGAGUUGGAUAGAGGUAAGCGGAAUUCCAUGUGAAGCGGUGAAAUGCGUAGAUAUAUGGAAGAACACCAAAGGCGAAGGCAGCUUACUGGGUCUAUACUGACGCUGAGGGACGAAAGCGUGGGGAGCAAACAGGAUUAGAUACCCUGGUAGUCCACGCCGUAAACGAUGAUCAUUAGUCGGUGGAUUGAUCACUGACGCAGCUAACGCAUUAAAUGAUCCGCCUGAGUAGUAUGCUCGCAAGAGUGAAACUUAAAGGAAUUGACGGGGACCCGCACAAGCGGUGGAGCAUGUGGUUUAAUUUGAAGAUACACGGAGAACCUUACCCACUCUUGACAUCUUCCGCAAAGCUAUAGAGAUAUAGUGGAGGCUAACGGAAUGACAGAUGGUGCAUGGUUGUCGUCAGCUCGUGUCGUGAGAUGUUUGGUCAAGUCCUGCAACGAGCGCAACCCCUAUCUUCAGUUACUAACGAGUUAUGUCGAGGACUCUGGAGAUACUGCCUGGGUAACUGGGAGGAAGGUGGGGAUGACGUCAAAUCAUCAUGCCUCUUACGAGUGGGGCAACACACGUGCUACAAUGGUCGGUACAAAGAGAAGCAAUAUGGCGACAUGGAGCAAAUCUCAAAAAGCCGAUCUCAGUUCGGAUUGAAGUCUGCAACUCGACUUCAUGAAGUCGGAAUCGCUAGUAAUCGCAGAUCAGCUAUGCUGCGGUGAAUACGUUCUCGGGUCUUGUACACACCGCCCGUCACACCAUGGGAGCUGGUAAUACCCAAAGUCGGUUUGCUAACCUCGGAGGCGACUG